This is a long non-coding RNA of Cyanistes caeruleus (blue tit), 2182 nucleotides long. The record is from Ensembl. NCBI's taxonomy places the organism in Eukaryota, Metazoa, Chordata, Aves, Passeriformes, Paridae.
GUUCAGUUCCAAGGGUAAGGAAGGCGAGGCAAUAAAGAUUGCUGCAAAAGCUCAAAUCCAUCACACUCUGAAAGUUGUGGCGUGUAUGGUAGCUGUGCCCUUUGCUCUGGCAGAGUUAAGGCAGAGCACUCAUUCAUCACUCACUGAGAGCAAUUUCAUUCUGGGAAACAGCCAGGGGAGUGGUGAAUCAGGCAGAACACAAGAGUGUCACUCAGGCAACAAAGAGAUGGAAAAAACAGGGCAGGUUUGAAAAAUGAGGGAGGUUUUGCACGUCACAAGUUUAUGGUCAUCAAAGUCUUCCAGGAAAGGCCAGGAAUAAAAUUGCUUCGUGCACACUUUCAAAUUGGCAGUGUUAUGUCUGAACUUGAGCUCAGGACUCCCUUCAAAUUCAAGAGAUAGAAGAGAAUACCAGUAAAGUGCAAUUCACUUGCCUAAUGUUAGAGGUGUGUUUCAGUUUGGGGUAACCCAUACACAGAAAUGCCUGUUGCUCUCCCUUAACUCUAGCUCAUCUGCUGAAUGCCUACAUCACAUGUGUCUAAAGGCCAAUUAAUAAAUUGCACCAGGUAUUUCUAAAGAAGAACACCAGCUACCAAGUCACCAUAUGAUCUGUGUAAUCAUAUGUAAGCUCUGUGCAGGCGUUACUUGGUGACAUCCUUCAUAAAAGCAGUGGUACCAUCCCCCUCUUUUGACACAUGGGAUAAAAAUGUGCAUUUAUUUGAAUGUGUAGCAACUACAUUUUUUUAAAAUUCAUUUUGGUAAUUGUAACACAUGUCUCUCAUGUGCCAAUAAGCCACUGCUUUCUAUUGAGUCAAGCCUGCACACAAGAAGAGGUGCUGGUGUGUUUGUCUCAACCUCUCUUAAACAUUCACUGGUUCAAGCUUCUUCUGUAAUGAGGAGGCAGAAGUGCAUCUCCCUGAUUUGUGCCAGCAGUCAUGAGCAAAUAACCCAACUCACCACUUCAUAAAGAGACAACAGACACCUUGCCUGUGUGUUUGCCCUUGUGUCCUCCCCAGCAGCAUCCCUGCACCGUGGCCCCCACCAUCCUCCCACCAAAGCCAGAUUUUGCCCCUGUCCAGAGUGGGAUCGAGCUCAGGCCCUAAGCAACCUGUGUUACUGCAAAUGCUCAGUGGAUUUAUUUAUGCCUGUGGCACAAAUACUUCAUUCUCUCUGCAGGACACGUAACGCCUCUGGAAUUCAGGGAGAGGAGACACAGGCACAGGCAGUCUCCGGCACAGCCAGGCACUCGUGCAGGUGGGGAAAAGAGACUUCUGCAAGAAGGAUGUGUCUUGGGUUGCAAUGCAAGCUGUAACCAGAAGUAUGUAUUCUAUUAUCAUCUGUUAAAACCAGGUGGGGCUGUGUUCUUUGUCUCUUCCACAACCCAUCCUCCCUCCAGGGGGAUAUCUUCUGUUAAUGGGCCAUUGAGUCUCACUGCAUGACUGAUAAAUUCCAUCAUCCCAUUGUCAGAUGCUCCACCCAGGGGGAGGAGCCAAGCAUUCCUACCUGGAUAUAAUCUGAGACUUGGAACACCUUUCAGUCAGCCUUUCUCCACUGGAUUUCCAGAGGAAGACUGGGCCCAUGGAUCCACCACCACUGGAUCUUCAGAGGAAAACGACACCCUUCUAGAGGAUCACGGCUUCAACAGAACCACAUCUGUCACUCCAGCAGCCACCAUUUAAUCAGACUGCUACCAACAGCCUGACCAACAGGGUGUCAGGUUGUAUUCUGACUCUGUCAGUGGAUUUUUUUGUACUACUGCAUUUUUAUUUUAAUUUUCCUAUAUAGACAUAUAGAACUGUUAUUCCUAUUCCCAUAUCUUUACCUGAGAGCCCCCUGAUUUCAAGAUUAUAAUAAUUUGGAGCAGGGAAUGUGGUUUACAUUUUUCCUUUUCAAGGAAAGUUCCUGCCUUCCUUAGCAGACACCUGUCUUUUCAAACCAUGACAUCAAGACAGAUGUCAUGAGGGAAGUGGGAAGUCACUUUGCCCAAAUUGUGUUACGCUUCAUUUUUGUGUCUGUGCCGUCCCUGUUUUGUUUCACACACCUGGCCCCUAUGGCCAUAGAGGCCAUGGGAAAGAGAACAUCCAAAAGAAAGCAGCAACAGGAAAAAUAGAUGCCAAAAGCAUGAGUGGCCCCAGAGGAAAACUGAGGAUAAGGAUAUGUCAUUGCCCUGAAAAGAAAUAAAUAC